GUGGGGAAUUUUGGACAAUGGGCGAAAGCCUGAUCCAGCCAUGCCGCGUGCAGGAUGAAGGCCUUCGGGUUGUAAACUGCUUUUGUACGGAACGAAAAGACUCCUUCUAAUAAAGGGGGUCCAUGACGGUACCGUAAGAACAAGCACCGGCUAACUACGUGCCAGCAGCCGCGGUAAUACGUAGGGUGCAAGCGUUAAUCGGAAUUACUGGGCGUAAAGCGUGCGCAGGCGGUUAUAUAAGACAGAUGUGAAAUCCCCGGGCUCAACCUGGGAACUGCAUUUGUGACUGUAUAGCUAGAGUACGGUAGAGGGGGAUGGAAUUCCGCGUGUAGCAGUGAAAUGCGUAGAUAUGCGGAGGAACACCGAUGGCGAAGGCAAUCCCCUGGACCUGUACUGACGCUCAUGCACGAAAGCGUGGGGAGCAAACAGGAUUAGAUACCCCUGUAGUCC
Molecule: ribosomal RNA, 450 nt
Filed under: uncultured bacterium
Lineage: Bacteria
Description: partial 16S ribosomal RNA
Rfam family: Bacterial small subunit ribosomal RNA
Source: RNAcentral